Molecule: ribosomal RNA, 253 nt
Filed under: uncultured bacterium
Lineage: Bacteria
Description: partial 16S ribosomal RNA
Rfam family: Bacterial small subunit ribosomal RNA
Source: RNAcentral
UACGUAGGGAGCAAGCGUUGUCCGGAAUCAUUGGGCGUAAAGCGCGCGUAGGUGGCCUCAUAAGUCCGCUGUGAAAGUCAAAGGCUCAACCUUUGAAAGCCGGUGGAUACUGUGAGGCUAGAGUACGGAAGAGGCGAGUGGAAUUCCUGGUGUAGCGGUGGAAUGCGCAGAUAUCAGGAGGAACACCAAUAGCGAAGGCAGCUCGCUGGGACGUUACUGACGCUGAGGUGCGAAAGCGUGGGGAGCAAACAGG